Molecule: ribosomal RNA, 253 nt
Filed under: uncultured bacterium
Lineage: Bacteria
Description: partial 16S ribosomal RNA
Rfam family: Bacterial small subunit ribosomal RNA
Source: RNAcentral
UACGAAGGGGGCUAGCGUUGCUCGGAAUCACUGGGCGUAAAGCGCACGUAGGCGGACUCUUAAGUCGGUGGUGAAAUCCUGGAGCUCAACUCCAGAACUGCCUUUGAUACUGGCGACCUUGAGUUCGGGAGGGGUGAGUGGAACUGCGAGUGUAGAGGUGAAAUUCGUAGAUAUUCGCAAGAACACCAGUGGCGAAGGCGGCUCACUGGCCCGAUACUGACGCUGAGGUGCGAAAGCGUGGGGAGCAAACAGG